UACGGGGGGGGCAAGCGUUGUUCGGAAUUAUUGGGCGUAAAGCGCGCGCAGGUGGGGUGAACAAGUCGGAAGUGAAAUCUUGAGGCUCAAACCUCGGAGGCUGCCUCCCGAAACUGUUCGCCUAGGGACUGGUAGAGGCUGGUAGAAUUCCCGGUGUAGCGGUGGAAUGCGUAGAGAUCGGGAAGAAUACCUGUGGCGAAGGCGGCCAGCUGGGCCAGCACUGACACUGAGGCACGAAAGCGUGGGGAGCAAACAGG
Molecule: ribosomal RNA, 257 nt
Filed under: uncultured bacterium
Lineage: Bacteria
Description: partial 16S ribosomal RNA
Rfam family: Bacterial small subunit ribosomal RNA
Source: RNAcentral